CCAGGGGUCUGUUGUUCAACUUGUCGUUAGGGCUAACGCGUCGUUAAAAUUUCUUAAUCAUUCGAUUAAAAUUAAUCAUAUGAUUAGUGUGUUGUUCAACUUGUCGUUAAUUUUAACGCUGCGUUAAAAAGGCUAAAACUGUCGUUAAACUUAAUCCACCUCUUUGAGGUGUAUUAAAUUUUAAUCAUAUGAUUAAAGCAUCCAAGAUGGCUGCUGUAUCAAUGCAAAAAUUAGUUUAUCCUCGAAAUAUGAGGCGUUUAAGAGAUAUUUAGCUCCUGGAAAGAGAUUUCAGCCAUAAAAUACCUUAAUAUUUGAAAGAAACACAAUAUAGUUGCUAGGAGUUGAGUUGAAACAUAAAUUGGAAAGAGAUUUGACAAGAUGGGGCUAAGGAUCGGACGCACUCAUACAACGGGCAUUUGAUAACAGAGAGAAAUUGCACAUUUCGGCAGUUUUUCGUUUGUAUUUUACCGCUCAGUGACAGUGUUGAUUGCAAAAAAACUAAACGUACGCUGAGACGGGCCACAUGUUAUUGUGCGGAACCAUUCAGCAAAUUAUGACGAACAGCUUUCAUAAAUAAAUAAUGUUACCAUAGCAUUAAUGUACAGGCCAUAAUUGAUUUUCAAAGCAAGUCUUUGCUAAUUUCCCCAUUUUCGAAGUUCAAAUAUUAGCACUUUCAGUUUCAGUAGCGCCCUUGACCUAGCUAGUCCUAACUGUUUACGCAGGUAAAUUAUGAUGGGUGAAUUCGUCCCCGUAUAUCUCGGACCUUACGAUUUUUAUCUUUACACGGAGUUUUUAAACAGUGUAUAUUGUUUUCCCAUUUAGUAAAGCUUAUGAGCUAUGAGGAUCCAAAUCAUGGGUGGAUCCAGCCAUUUUGGGGGUUCCAACGUAGCCCAGAUUAAAAGGGUUGUUUCAAACCUCACGUCGCCUUUCAAAAACUUUGAUUGUCAAAUAAAAGGGGGAUUCCAACCCCCGGACUCCCCCUUAGGCCUAGGAUCCGCAACUGCAAAUAUUUAUAAUGAAAAUAUACUGCCAUCAGUGUUUAAUAUUACUGAUUAGGUAUUAAGAGACUGAGUCAAUAAAAUGUCUCAUAUUUUUUAUCUGACACAAUAUACAAAAACAAGCACCUG
This 1127-nucleotide long non-coding RNA is filed under the name Mytilus galloprovincialis (Mediterranean mussel). The record is from RNAcentral. Lineage: Eukaryota; Metazoa; Mollusca; Bivalvia; Mytilida; Mytilidae.